AGAGUUUGAUCCUGGCUCAGAUUGAACGCUGGCGGCAGGCCUAACACAUGCAAGUCGAACGGUAACAGGCGAGUGCUUGCACUUGCGCUGACGAGUGGCGGACGGGUGAGUAACGCGUAGGAAUCUACCUGGUAGUGGGGGAUAGCCCGGGGAAACUCGGAUUAAUACCGCAUACGCCCUACGGGGGAAAGCAGGGGCUCUUCGGACCUUGCGCUAUUGGAUGAGCCUGCGUUAGAUUAGCUAGUUGGUGGGGUAAAGGCCUACCAAGGCGACGAUCUAUAGCUGGUCUGAGAGGAUGAUCAGCCACACUGGGACUGAGACACGGCCCAGACUCCUACGGGAGGCAGCAGUGGGGAAUAUUGCGCAAUGGGCGAAAGCCUGACGCAGCCAUGCCGCGUGUGUGAAGAAGGCUCUAGGGUCGUAAAGCACUUUAAGUGGGGAGGAAGGCUACUUAGUUAAUACCUGAGUAGAUUGACGUUACCCACAGAAUAAGCACCCGCUAACUCCGUGCCAGCAGUCGCGGUAAUACGGAGGGUGCGAGCGUUAAUCGGAAUUACUGGGCGUAAAGCGCGCGUAGGCGGUUUUGUAAGCUGGGUGUGAAAGCCCCGGGCUCAACCUGGGAACUGCAUUCAGAACUGCAAGGCUAGAGUACAGUAGAGGGUGGUAGAAUUUCCUGUGUAGCGGUGAAAUGCGUAGAUAUAGGAAGGAAUACCAGUGGCGAAGGCGGCCACCUGGACUGAUACUGACGCUGAGGUGCGAAAGCGUGGGUAGCGAACAGGAUUAGAUACCCUGGUAGUCCACGCUGUAAACGAUGUCAACUAGCCGUAGGGAUCCUUGAGAUUUUUGUGGCGCAGCUAACGCACUAAGUUGACCGCCUGGGGAGUACGGCCGCAAGGUUAAAACUCAAAUGAAUUGACGGGGGCCCGCACAAGCGGUGGAGCAUGUGGUUUAAUUCGAUGCAACGCGAAGAACCUUACCUGGUCUUGACAUCCUCGGAAGC
This 1000-nucleotide ribosomal RNA is filed under the name uncultured bacterium. RNAcentral's name for it is "bacterial SSU rRNA". It matches the Rfam family "Bacterial small subunit ribosomal RNA", at positions 8 to 997 of the family's 1533-position model. The record is from RNAcentral.